AUACUUACCUGGCAGGGGGAUCAAGAUGGUGGUUCACCCAGGGUGAGGCUUGACCAUUGCACUCCGGUUUGUGCUGACCUCUGCGAAUUCCCCAAAUGUGGGACUCUCGAGGGGAAGUUGUGGCCUAAUGAUUAGAGAGUCGGA
Molecule: small nuclear RNA, 144 nt
Filed under: Sinocyclocheilus grahami
Lineage: Eukaryota; Metazoa; Chordata; Actinopteri; Cypriniformes; Cyprinidae
Description: U1 spliceosomal RNA (ENSSGRG00000053306.1)
Rfam family: U1 spliceosomal RNA
About the family: U1 is a small nuclear RNA (snRNA) component of the spliceosome (involved in pre-mRNA splicing). Its 5' end forms complementary base pairs with the 5' splice junction, thus defining the 5' donor site of an intron.
Source: RNAcentral